RNAcentral lists this long non-coding RNA (3801 nucleotides) under Phoenix dactylifera (date palm). RNAcentral describes it as "long non-coding RNA (PDAC_LNC009789)". Lineage: Eukaryota; Viridiplantae; Streptophyta; Magnoliopsida; Arecales; Arecaceae. The record is from RNAcentral.
UCUGGCAGGGGUUUCUAUAUCGAAAUACAAUGAAAUGUAGAUGAGAGAAAGAGAAGUUGGAAGAGCCGAUAACUAAUCCCAAUUAAUGGAAACUGCUAGAUGGGCAAUUUACAUUAUCCCAGAAAAAAUAGGGAUAAUUUGUGAUCAGGUGGGCUUCCUAACCACUUUCAAUCCCACAUAGUUUUAGACGAGAAGGUGGUACCAUGAUCUUAUUGGACAAUAACAUCACCCGAUGUCCAAAAAGGCCCUUAAGGUGCUUUGAUGGGCAUAUCUAUGUUCUCAUUUAUAUUCCGUUUUUAAUUCUUAUUUAGAAAAGCUCCAGACGUCAUAAGGACAGGUUUUGGAAUCUGUACUGGUACUCUUGUUUCAAAUUGAAAUUCUUUUGUGAACUCUAACUUGAAUAAACAUACAAAAUCUAGGGGCUAGCUAGUAAAUAUAAAAAGUUGUUUGGUCAGCUGGUAAAAUAAUUUGGGAGUUAUUUUGAUUAAAUGAAAGACAACGAAGAGUUUGUAACCAUCGCCAAUCCCCUCUCCCUCUAUUUUUGAGAUGAUGGGUAAGGCCCAUCAAAGUUUAUUGUGAUUAUAAAUUGUUGCAAGAUGAGACUUGUGGUAAUGGGUACCCAAACCCCAGUGACUGUACCCACUGAAUUAGUUGGCACCCUUAAUUCUUCCCUUUUUCGAAUUCUUCUCCGCAAUAAACUUUCUCUAAAUCCCUUUUCCUUUCUUAUCUUCUUUUUUUGUUAAUAAAGACCCUUGAUCUGAACAAAGCUUCAACAUAUUUGAGUUAUUUUCAGCAUUCUAUUUCUUUGAUCAUUUACAAGUAUUGAGAUCCAGGAGAAAUUAAAGUCAAAACCCAAACAGAACGUUAGAAUCCUGUCACAUACCUUCUUUUGGUAUGCCCAUUAAAUAUUGAUUGGCCCACAUAUGUAUUAAAUUCAGCAAAAAAGUCCUAUGUUGAUUAGGAUUAACUUUGAAUCUUGAAUAAGGCCACAAAACACUACAAGUUUUACUAUUCAACUAGAGCCAAAUUUGAAGAUCCAAACUAGAGUAUUGUCUCAUAUGGGAAACUCAUUUAGUUGCAUAUUAUUUAUUUUAUCAUAGAUUUUAGGUAGUUCAUCAAGACAGAGUGAGUGAGAGGUAGUUCAAAUCCAUGAAAGGCUCCUAUUAGAUAAGGUCAUAAUAGACUAGCACAUGUGAUCUGAGAAAGGAUGGAAUCUCAUUCCUGAAGAGAUCGAAGUACAUUGAACAUUGUAAUGCAAAAAAAGAAGGUAGCCUCAAAUUAAUAUAUUGAUAACAAAUAAGAAUUCAAGGAUAGAUUGGUCACUUCUGAGGGACAACUAGAAACACUUGCAAUCUUUUUCCAUUGUAAACAAAUAUUUGCCUUGCAGUGGUAGUUCUCUCGAGGCUUGGAUUGAAUAAGCUCCCAAACUGAUUGAUCACUUUUGCCACAAGGCUGCUUUCAUGGUUAUGACAGUCGAAGACAAACUCAAAGGAGGCCUCUCUGCUAGAGCUAGCACAAAACGUGGUGACUAAGAGUGAAGGCAACCAUAAGAAAAAUUUGCAUCAUAGUGCUCCCCUCAAGCUAUAAGCACUAAAAGAAUGGCAGACUGGAGCAACAAUUUCGAGACAUGUUAUAACAUGCAAUUGUUCACUAUGGUUAUCAACUCUGGAAGUUGUCUUAAUGUGGUGUAAGUGGAUGGCAGUUCGAAUGCAAUGGCUCACAUAUGAAGCCCAAGAAGGUCGUGUGGGCCUAAAAUGCCAUCAAACAUUACUAGAGGAUUCAUUGAGAUGAAAUGCAUCAUGCUACAUGUGAAGGUGUGGCAUGAAUUGCUCUAAGCAUGAAUACUGCCAAACGAAGUACAUAUAAGCUCAAGACUUGCCACCAAUAAGCUCAAGAAAACUACAAGCUGUACAGCACAAGACUGAUCAAUCAAUCAAUCAAUCAGGUUAUGUGCCCAUGAUGACAGCAUAUCAAAGAUCAAAUCGCUGUACAAUGACUCAAACUGCUUGUUAAUGCAAAGACUGCUAGCAGUCCAAGCGUAACUGAUUCCUAAAGUGGUGUUUUCUGAAAGAAUCUGAAAAAUUUUUGGAGGAUUUUACUAGCCAUAACUGUUUAGAAAAUUUUCUGAUGUUCCAGGAGCCUGAUAUGGGUGCUCAAUAUAGGAGGUUUAUUCUUUUGUGAUGUCCAGGAUGGACUCAUAUAUGAAUUUUAGUGUGAGCAAAUAAGAGGAGGAGUUGUUUGGCUUGCUGUUAAGAUGAUUUUAUUUUGGCUCAAGAAGGGAAAACUGAGGCUCGACUAUUUUCUUUUCUGUUCCUAGUCCUCUCUCUCACACACACACAUUAGUUCCUCUCUUUGAUCUGCCCAGUUCGGGACAGUUCCGCCGGCCCUAGUUUGCACUUAUUCAUAAACUCUGAACCACAACUACUAAAAAAGCGGUCAUUACACUAGCAAAGCCUCAGAAAAACAUUCUUAAAGUUUUCAUACCUACAUCAUACCUCAAACAACCAGCUCUUAAUCCUAGAACCAUAGAUAGGCCCUCCAUUUUCUUCUUAUAUCUGAAACUUUGGAUCAUACCAAAACUUGUCCUUUUUCAGUGUGGUCAUAUUGAUUGGUUGUCAUCACAAAUCCUCUACAACUCCAUGAAAAUAGCAGCAGUUGCUUGAUUAUGGGUGUGCAUAUGACAAACCACCACUGUAUGACUAAUAACUUAACAAACUUGAGAAGAUGGAUGGGACUAAUCAAAAGGGAUAUCCAUGAAAACUAAUGAAUUCUUUUUUUUCAUAUUUCACCUAUCAGAAGGUCUAGGGGUUUAAGUUUAAAAUCUACAAAGAUAUAAGUUUAAAAGAUAAGUGCGAAGGAAUAGAUAGCCUUUAGUAGCUGUGAAUUGUUUUGAGUCAUUGAUACAAGGAACUCAUAUCAAAAAUUAAAAGUAAUUAAUGGUUUUAGAGUUGUGAUUCACUUAGAACUAGUGCUUCAUCAAAUACUUUUAUAGUUAUUGGUGUUUCACCAAUCUAAUGUUUUAUAGGACUUUAUCAUUAUCAUUAUCAUCAUCAUCAUCAGUAUAUUUUGUUUUGUUUCUUUUUGAAAUUUAAAUUAUAUUUGACAUCCGAAUUUUUGGAAUUUUUAAUGUGACUCUUGAUGGUAGAAAGCAAGUUCUGAUAAUAAUUCCCAUGUGACACCAUAAAGUUAGAUUAUCAAUAACAGUUACUAUUCAAUUUGCAAAGAAAUACAAUCGUAAUGUGUCAUUCUCUUAGAUAGAACCCAAGACUUCUUCCCAAGAAGGGAAGGUGUACCAGUUGGAACAACUUGCUUGGAAUAAGUGAAUGGACUUACGGACUACUAACCAAAAAAAAAUUGUAUCCUUAUAUUUUUAUAAAGUUAAAUUAUUUAACAAUCAAUAUUUGGAUUCUAUGCAUUUUACACAUGUAGUUUUACUAGUCAAGUUUAAAAGUUUAAAUAAGUAGAUAUUUCCCAUUGUCAUAGAAUUUUGAUGCACACAAAGACAUGUGCAUGGGCACCUCACAUGCACAUGUACCUGUGCAUAUACAACACAAUGCAGACCUCCCACACCCCUGAACAUGCAUACAUGUAUGCACCAACAAACAUAUAUGCAUGCAUGCACACAUACAUACGCAGACACACUAUCCACCAGCUUUUACUCCCUUAAGGAAAUCCUAGAAUUUACUAAUUUGUUUGCCUAUAGGUCUAUGGUAAAUUUAAACUUCACUAGCUUUGCAUCAACAAAGCCAUACAUGGCUUUGAAAGCAUCCAAGAGUUCUUUGGAACUUUCCAUAAAAUAUA